AUGGGAUUAGCUUGUUGGUGGGGUAACGGCUCACCAAGGCGACGAUCCCUAGCUGGUCUGAGAGGAUGACCAGCCACACUGGAACUGAGACACGGUCCAGACUCCUACGGGAGGCAGCAGUGGGGAAUAUUGCACAAUGGGCGCAAGCCUGAUGCAGCCAUGCCGCGUGUAUGAAGAAGGCCUUCGGGUUGUAAAGUACUUUCAGCGGGGAGGAAGGGAGUAAAGUUAAUACCUUUGCUCAUUGACGUUAUCCGCAGAAGAAGCACCGGCUAACUCCGUGCCAGCAGCCGCGGUAAUACGGAGGGUGCAAGCGUUAAUCGGAAUUACUGGGCGUAAAGCGCACGCAGGCGGUUUGUUAAGUCAGAUGUGAAAUCCCCGGGCUCAACCUGGGAACUGCAUCUGAUACUGGCAAGCUUGAGUCUCGUAGAGGGGGGUAGAAUUCCAGGUGUAGCGGUGAAAUGCGUAGAGAUCUGGAGGAAUACCGGUGGCGAAGGCGGCCCCCUGGACGAAGACUGACGCUCAGGUGCGAAAGCGUGGGGAGCAAACAGGAUUAGAUACCCUGGUAGUCCACGCCGUAAACGAUGUCGACUUGGAGGUUGUGCCCUUGAGGCGUGGCUUCCGGAGCUAACGCGUUAAGUCGACCGCCUGGGGAGUACGGCCGCAAGGUUAAAACUCAAAUGAAUUGACGGGGGCCCGCACAAGCGGUGGAGCAUGUGGUUUAAUUCGAUGCAACGCGAAGAACCUUACCUGGUCUUGACAUCCACGGAAGUUUUCAGAGAUGAGAAUGUGCCUUCGGGAACCGUGAGACAGGUGCUGCAUGGCUGUCGUCAGCUCGUGUUGUGAAAUGUUGGGUUAAGUCCCGCAACGAGCGCAACCCUUAUCCUUUGUUGCCAGCGGUCCGGCCGGGAACUCAAAGGAGACUGCCAGUGAUAAACUGGAGGAAGGUGGGGACGACGUCAAGUCAUCAUGGCCCUUACGACCAGGGCUACACACGUGCUACAAUGGCGCAUACAAAGAGAAGCGACCUCGCGAGAGCAAGCGGACCUCAUAAAGUGCGUCGUAGUCCGGAUUGGAGUCUGCAACUCGACUCCAUGAAGUCGGAAUCGCUAGUAAUCGUGGAUCAGAAUGCCACGGUGAAUACGUUCCCGGGCCUUGUACACACCGCCCGUCACACCAUGGGAGUGGGUUGCAAAAGAAGUAGGUAGCUUAACCUUUGGGAGGGCGCUUACCACUUUGUGAUUCAUGACUGGGGUGAAGUCGUAACAAGGUAACCGUAGGGGAACCUGCGGUUGGAUCACCUCCUUACCUUAAAGAAGC
RNAcentral lists this ribosomal RNA (1317 nucleotides) under Shigella boydii. RNAcentral's name for it is "bacterial SSU rRNA". It matches the Rfam family "Bacterial small subunit ribosomal RNA", at positions 235 to 1533 of the family's 1533-position model. The record is from RNAcentral. Lineage: Bacteria; Pseudomonadati; Pseudomonadota; Gammaproteobacteria; Enterobacterales; Enterobacteriaceae.